This 17-nucleotide transfer RNA is filed under the name Dicranomyia tahitiensis. RNAcentral's name for it is "partial tRNA-Lys". The record is from RNAcentral. Lineage: Eukaryota; Metazoa; Arthropoda; Insecta; Diptera; Limoniidae.
CAUUAAAUGGCUGAAAG